RNAcentral lists this ribosomal RNA (960 nucleotides) under Heterophoma verbasci-densiflori. RNAcentral's name for it is "partial large subunit ribosomal RNA". It matches the Rfam family "Eukaryotic large subunit ribosomal RNA", at positions 68 to 1048 of the family's 3401-position model. Lineage: Eukaryota; Fungi; Ascomycota; Dothideomycetes; Pleosporales; Didymellaceae. RNAcentral also lists the same sequence under 1 other name. The record is from RNAcentral.
ACAGGGAUUGCCCUAGUAACGGCGAGUGAAGCGGCAACAGCUCAAAUUUGAAAUCUGGCGUCUUUGGCGUCCGAGUUGUAAUUUGCAGAGGGCGCUUUGGCAUUGGCAGCGGUCCAAGUUCCUUGGAACAGGACGUCACAGAGGGUGAGAAUCCCGUACGUGGUCGCUAGCCUUUACCGUGUAAAGCCCCUUCGACGAGUCGAGUUGUUUGGGAAUGCAGCUCUAAAUGGGAGGUAAAUUUCUUCUAAAGCUAAAUACUGGCCAGAGACCGAUAGCGCACAAGUAGAGUGAUCGAAAGAUGAAAAGCACUUUGGAAAGAGAGUUAAAAAGCACGUGAAAUUGUUGAAAGGGAAGCGCUUGCAGCCAGACUUGCCUGUAGUUGCUCAUCCGGGUUUUUACCCGGUGCACUCUUCUAUAGGCAGGCCAGCAUCAGUUUGGGCGGUUGGAUAAAGGUCUCUGUCAUGUACCUCCUCUCGGGGAGAACUUAUAGGGGAGACGACAUGCAACCAGCCUGGACUGAGGUCCGCGCAUCUGCUAGGAUGCUGGCGUAAUGGCUGUAAGCGGCCCGUCUUGAAACACGGACCAAGGAGUCUAACAUCUAUGCGAGUGUUUGGGUGUCAAGCCCGAACGCGUAAUGAAAGUGAACGGAGGUGGGAACCUUUCGGGGUGCACCAUCGACCGAUCCUGAUGUCUUCGGAUGGAUUUGAGUAAGAGCAUAGCUGUUGGGACCCGAAAGAUGGUGAACUAUGCUUGAAUAGGGUGAAGCCAGAGGAAACUCUGGUGGAGGCUCGCAGCGGUUCUGACGUGCAAAUCGAUCGUCAAAUUUGGGCAUAGGGGCGAAAGACUAAUCGAACUAUCUAGUAGCUGGUUCCUGCCGAAGUUUCCCUCAGGAUAGCAGUAACGUUUUCAGUUUUAUGAGGUAAAGCGAAUGAUUAGAGGCCUGGGGGUUGAAACAACCUU